GUGGGGAAUCUUCCGCAAUGGACGAAAGUCUGACGGAGCAACGCCGCGUGAGUGAAGAAGGUUUUCGGAUCGUAAAGCUCUUUCGUUAGGGACGAACGUGCUCUUUGUGAAUAAUGAGGAGUAAUGACGGUACCUAAAUAAGAAGCCACGGCUAACUACGUGCCAGCAGCCGCGGUAAUACGUAGGUGGCAAGCGUUGUCCGGAAUUAUUGGGCGUAAAGCGCGCGCAGGCGGGAUAUCAAGUCUGUCUUAAAAGUGCGAGGCUCAACCUCGUGAGGGGACAGAAACUGGUAUUCUUGAGUGUCGGAGAGGAAAGUGGAAUUUCAAGUGUAGCGGUGAAAUGCGUAGAGAUUUGGAAGAACACCAGUGGCGAAGGCGACUUUCUGGACGAUGUCUGACGCUGAGGCGCGAAAGCUAGGGGAGCGAACGGGAUUAGAUACCCGUGUAGUCC
RNAcentral lists this ribosomal RNA (450 nucleotides) under uncultured bacterium. Its description in RNAcentral is "partial 16S ribosomal RNA". It matches the Rfam family "Bacterial small subunit ribosomal RNA", at positions 354 to 796 of the family's 1533-position model. The record is from RNAcentral.